CUGACUGCUGCCUCUGAGACUGGGAGGUUGAGGCCUGUGAUCCCGGAGGGGCUGAGGCGGGCAAGUGGUGGCUGAGCCUUCAGGCCCUUGUGGGGCCAUUGAGCUCCAAGGCAGGUAGGUCUCUAGCAGUCACGCAGUGGGUCAGAACUCUCAAAAACCUCCGGGCACAAUUUACGCAAGUGGAAGCCCAGUUCUGGAGACCUUCAUGGUCUCGAGAAACAGCAUGCUGCCUUCUACCAACCUAGAGGCAAACAAGUGGCAUCCCUCCCUGUUGGUCAACGGCUUUAACAAAUGUGAAUAUUCUCGGUAGGAGGAUCUGAGAAAAUGAUGACAUAGCACAGGGGCACUUUUCAGCGAUUGAGGAAUCUGUGAGUGUCCCCAUAGAAUUUGUCUUUAAGUCAAAGGAACAUUUUUUUCCAUUGAAGUUCGGACACACACAUACAAAAUGGUAUCAGUAUCAAAUGAUUCGGAUCCCUUCUCCAAAGGGGCCAGAAAUAAUAAGAGCGAUCUGUGUGGCUGAUCUACUGGAAAGAGGGGGAAAAACGUUUGUGAACAUUGUCAAGCAGCAGACAUGAUGGGGGGCUAGAAAUGUAUCCAGGUAUUAUUUGUUGUUUCUUUUAUUAAACCUAUUUCUCUUCUCUCAGGCCUAGACUCUGCUGCUGAUUUGAAGUUGGGAUAUUUUCCCUGCCAACUUUUGACCCCAAUGUCUGCAUCAUUCUGCCCCAAUGAUGAGGGUGAGGAUCAGUAUGAAAACACUGAUGAAGAGGAAGAGGAUGGAAAUGAAAAACCUGAAGGACUCUAAAUGGAUGUGGUCUCAGCAAAGAGCAGCUCUGGAUAAUACAGUGGGAAGGCAUAGAAAAAGCAGACAGCAAAAGAAAAGAUGAAUCUGUUCUUCAUGGAUAUUCUUGUUUUCAUUAGCCUGAAAUACUAAUUUUGUUUCAAAGUUUCAAUGCCCCAAAGUGAUAUUAACUACUGACAUCUGACUUUACUCUUACCUUUUACAGAUAAUUUGAUAGUAUUGUUCACAUUGGAAAUAAAAGCUUGUUUGAAAGUAAUAAGCUGUAGUUUUUUUUUUUUUUUUUUUUCACAUAAAUACCACUGACUCAAAUCUAUCAUUGUUCUAUUUAUUUUGGCCCACCUUACUGUCACUGAAAGGGAUUUCUUUCCGCUAUUUGUCAAGCCUGUUUUAAAUCCUUUUAUUGCAGCCCCAAAUAAAUUAAAAUAUAAGAUUGUAAAUAAUUUGUGGGAUGGUGCCCUAGCCUCUACUAUAUUUUAUUGAAAGGAACUGAUGGAUGACCUAGCUUGCCUGGAACAGCAGCAUCAGCAUCAGCUGGAAACUUGUUUGCAAUGCACAUUCUCAGACCCUGCUCCAGACCUACUGAGUUGGAAAUUCUGAGGGCAGGCCGCUAGCCAUCAGGGUUUUACAGUCCUCCAGGUGCUACUGAAGCACACUGAAGUUUCAGAACCACUGCUUUAGAGCAGUGGGGGAAAGGUUUGCUACACCCACUGCAGGAUCAUCCUUAACUCACUGACUUGGUACUGUUGCAGGUAAACUAAACAGGGUGGUAAGAUCUGGACUUAGGAAGACACUAGAAUUCUCAGGGGCUUGAGACACAAAGAGGGGUGUGUUAGUGUCCUAAGGUUACUGUAACAAAUUGCCACAAACCAGAUGGCUUAAAACAACAGAAAUACAUUAUCUCAGUGCUGGAGGCCAGAAGUCUGAGGUCAAGGUAUCAGCAAGGGUGAUCCCUUCCAGAGCCUCUGAGGGAGAUCUGUUUCAUGCCUCUCUCCUAGUUUCUGGUGGUCGGUGUCAGUCAUUGGCAUCU
This is a long non-coding RNA of Bos grunniens (domestic yak), 1826 nucleotides long. The record is from Ensembl. NCBI's taxonomy places the organism in Eukaryota, Metazoa, Chordata, Mammalia, Artiodactyla, Bovidae.